CCACAGAAGCUAUGAGUGAGGAUC
RNAcentral lists this non-coding RNA (24 nucleotides) under Cricetulus griseus (Chinese hamster). The record is from RNAcentral. Lineage: Eukaryota; Metazoa; Chordata; Mammalia; Rodentia; Cricetidae.